CAGGCCUGGGUAAAAACUUCUUUAAAAGGAGGCAGCAAAGCCUUUUCUGAUACCAACUCUUGAUCUAAAGCAAAUUCCCAGGAGAAGUCUUUUAUGGGUUUUGAAUUUGCAGUAACAAGUGUGAACAUUCUAGCAGCAGUCUGAUGAUCCACAUAUGAUAAGGCAAACGGGA
Molecule: small nucleolar RNA, 172 nt
Organism: Otolemur garnettii (small-eared galago)
Lineage: Eukaryota; Metazoa; Chordata; Mammalia; Primates; Galagidae
Source: Ensembl